This 492-nucleotide ribosomal RNA is filed under the name uncultured bacterium. RNAcentral's name for it is "partial 16S ribosomal RNA". It matches the Rfam family "Bacterial small subunit ribosomal RNA", at positions 28 to 507 of the family's 1533-position model. The record is from RNAcentral.
GAUGAACGCUAGCUACAGGCUUAACACAUGCAAGUCGAGGGGAAACGGCAUUAAGUGCUUGCACUUUUUGGACGUCGACCGGCGCACGGGUGAGUAACGCGUAUCCAACCUUCCCAUGACUAAGGGAUAACCUGCCGAAAGGCAGACUAAUACCUUAUGGUCUUCACUGACGGCAUCAGAUGUGAAGUAAAGAUUUAUCGGUUAUGGAUGGGGAUGCGUCUGAUUAGCUUGUUGGCGGGGUAACGGCCCACCAAGGCAACGAUCAGUAGGGGUUCUGAGAGGAAGGGGCCGCACAAUGGAACUGAGACACGGUCCAAACUCCUACGGGAGGCAGCAGUGAGGAGUACUGGUCGAUGGGUGAGUGCCUGAACCAGCCAAUUAGCGUGCAGGAAGACGGCCCUAUGGGUUGUAAACUGCCUUUGGAUGGGGAUAAAGUCAAUCACGUGUGAUUGUUUGCAGGUACCAUACGAAUAAGGACCGGCUAAUUCCGUG